RNAcentral lists this ribosomal RNA (253 nucleotides) under uncultured bacterium. Its description in RNAcentral is "partial 16S ribosomal RNA". It matches the Rfam family "Bacterial small subunit ribosomal RNA", at positions 524 to 776 of the family's 1533-position model. The record is from RNAcentral.
UACAGAGGUCUCAAGCGUUGUUCGGAUUCAUUGGGCGUAAAGGGUGCGUAGGCGGCGCGGUAAGUCGGGGGUGAAAUCUUGGAGCUUAACUCCGAAACUGCAUUCGAUACUGCCGUGCUUGAGGACUGGAGAGGAGACUGGAAUUUACGGUGUAGCGGUGAAAUGCUUAGAUAUGACAUAGAACACCAAUUGCGAAGGCAGCUUACUACACAGUAAUUGACACUGAGGCACGAAAGCGUGGGGAUCAAACAGG